UGGGGAAUAUUGCCCAAUGGGCGCAAGCCUGAUGCAGCCAUGCCGCGUGUAUGAAGAAGGCCUUCGGGUUGUAAAGUACUUUCCGCGGGGAGGAAGGUGUUGAGGUUAAUAACCUCAGCAAUUGACGUUACCCGCAGAAGCAGCACCGGCUAACUCCGUGCCAGCAGCCGCGUUAAUACGGAGGGUGCAAGCGUUAAUCGGAAUUACUGGGCGUAAAGCGCACGCAGGCGGUCUGUCAAGUCGGAUGUGAAAUCCCCGGGCUCAACCUGGGAACUGCAUUCGAAACUGGCAGGCUAGAGUCUUGUAGAGGGGGGUAGAAUUCCAGGUGUAGCGGUGAAAUGCGUAGAGAUCUGGAGGAAUACCGGUGGCGAAGGCGGCCCCCUGGACAAAGACUGACGCUCAGGUGCGAAAGCGUGGGGAGCAAACA
This 427-nucleotide ribosomal RNA is filed under the name uncultured bacterium. RNAcentral's name for it is "partial 16S ribosomal RNA". It matches the Rfam family "Bacterial small subunit ribosomal RNA", at positions 355 to 774 of the family's 1533-position model. The record is from RNAcentral.